AUCCUUUUGUAGUUUGUAAGUAUGAUGAUUGGGAUUUCAAGCUCAUGUGUGGGACGUGCCUCCCUCAAACCUUGUUAUGAUGUCAGCACAUUACUCAUCUGAUG
Nomascus leucogenys (northern white-cheeked gibbon) is the source of this 104-nucleotide small nucleolar RNA. It matches the Rfam family "Small nucleolar RNA U13". NCBI's taxonomy places the organism in Eukaryota, Metazoa, Chordata, Mammalia, Primates, Hylobatidae. The record is from Rfam.